This 1433-nucleotide ribosomal RNA is filed under the name Staphylococcus aureus. RNAcentral's name for it is "partial 23S ribosomal RNA". It matches the Rfam family "Bacterial large subunit ribosomal RNA", at positions 12 to 1447 of the family's 2925-position model. The record is from RNAcentral. RNAcentral also lists the same sequence under 1 other name. Lineage: Bacteria; Bacillati; Bacillota; Bacilli; Caryophanales; Staphylococcaceae.
UAAGGGCGCACGGUGGAUGCCUUGGCACUAGAAGCCGAUGAAGGACGUUACUAACGACGAUAUGCUUUGGGGAGCUGUAAGUAAGCUUUGAUCCAGAGAUUUCCGAAUGGGGAAACCCAGCAUGAGUUAUGUCAUGUUAUCGAUAUGUGAAUACAUAGCAUAUCAGAAGGCACACCCGGAGAACUGAAACAUCUUAGUACCCGGAGGAAGAGAAAGAAAAUUCGAUUCCCUUAGUAGCGGCGAGCGAAACGGGAAGAGCCCAAACCAACAAGCUUGCUUGUUGGGGUUGUAGGACACUCUAUACGGAGUUACAAAGGACGACAUUAGACGAAUCAUCUGGAAAGAUGAAUCAAAGAAGGUAAUAAUCCUGUAGUCGAAAAUGUUGUCUCUCUUGAGUGGAUCCUGAGUACGACGGAGCACGUGAAAUUCCGUCGGAAUCUGGGAGGACCAUCUCCUAAGGCUAAAUACUCUCUAGUGACCGAUAGUGAACCAGUACCGUGAGGGAAAGGUGAAAAGCACCCCGGAAGGGGAGUGAAAUAGAACCUGAAACCGUGUGCUUACAAGUAGUCAGAGCCCGUUAAUGGGUGAUGGCGUGCCUUUUGUAGAAUGAACCGGCGAGUUACGAUUUGAUGCAAGGUUAAGCAGUAAAUGUGGAGCCGUAGCGAAAGCGAGUCUGAAUAGGGCGUUUAGUAUUUGGUCGUAGACCCGAAACCAGGUGAUCUACCCUUGGUCAGGUUGAAGUUCAGGUAACACUGAAUGGAGGACCGAACCGACUUACGUUGAAAAGUGAGCGGAUGAACUGAGGGUAGCGGAGAAAUUCCAAUCGAACCUGGAGAUAGCUGGUUCUCUCCGAAAUAGCUUUAGGGCUAGCCUCAAGUGAUGAUUAUUGGAGGUAGAGCACUGUUUGGACGAGGGGCCCCUCUCGGGUUACCGAAUUCAGACAAACUCCGAAUGCCAAUUAAUUUAACUUGGGAGUCAGAACAUGGGUGAUAAGGUCCGUGUUCGAAAGGGAAACAGCCCAGACCACCAGCUAAGGUCCCAAAAUAUAUGUUAAGUGGAAAAGGAUGUGGCGUUGCCCAGACAACUAGGAUGUUGGCUUAGAAGCAGCCAUCAUUUAAAGAGUGCGUAAUAGCUCACUAGUCGAGUGACACUGCGCCGAAAAUGUACCGGGGCUAAACAUAUUACCGAAGCUGUGGAUUGUCCUUUGGACAAUGGUAGGAGAGCGUUCUAAGGGCGUUGAAGCAUGAUCGUAAGGACAUGUGGAGCGCUUAGAAGUGAGAAUGCCGGUGUGAGUAGCGAAAGACGGGUGAGAAUCCCGUCCACCGAUUGACUAAGGUUUCCAGAGGAAGGCUCGUCCGCUCUGGGUUAGUCGGGUCCUAAGCUGAGGCCGACAGGCGUAGGCGAUGGAUAACAGGUUGAUAUUCCUGUACCAC